Molecule: unclassified non-coding RNA, 763 nt
Filed under: Metschnikowia dekortorum
Lineage: Eukaryota; Fungi; Ascomycota; Pichiomycetes; Serinales; Metschnikowiaceae
Description: intergenic spacer
Source: RNAcentral
CUGAUGAGAAGACUGGAGGGUGAGAGUAAAAAACUGAUAUUGCUGUUCCUUAGGGGGCAGUGAUUGAAGUGUGGGAGGGUCGUGCAAAGACCAAGACUGAUGGGGUGAAGUAUUUGAAGUGGUGUAGUAUUUGAAGUGUAGAAGAGUCGUGCGAAGACCAAGACGGAUGGGGUGGUGAAGAAGUAUUUGAAGUGUGAGGGUCGUGCGGAGGCCAAGAGGGAUAGAGGGUCGAGAAAUUUUGUGAAGAAAUUUUGUAGAGAAACUUUGUAGAAAUUUUGUGUUCAUUACUUUCGUGUUCAUUGCUUUCGUGUUCAUUGCUUUCGUGUUCAUUGCUUUCGUGUUCAUUACUUUUGUGCUCGUUACUUUUGUGUACAAAUUUUGUGUGCUGUGUGUUUGUGCCUGUGCGUAGUGUGGUUUUGUGUUUUGUAUGGUCGAGGGUCGUGCCUCGCCCAAAUCUAUUCGUAUGGCUUUCAUUUUGCCCUCUAUAUGAUUUCUCUGGUCCCUAAAACACCCCUCCAUUUGAUUCGGGAAGCCAAUUGUCGGGAGCGAUUUUUGAAUAGGAUCCCAAAGUUUUGCAUUCUUGAGUGAGCGCGAGAAAAAGAUAGAAACAGGAGGAAAAAGCGGGGGUGAAAAAUAUAAUAAAGUAUAAUGUUAAAUAAUAAAAAAUAAUGAUAUAUAAUAAAAAGUAAUAAAACAGCCUAAUACAAGGUUAAGCCUUUUUUGAUUGGGAUGUUUUGGCGCGCGCGGGGAGGAAAUUUCCAGG